RNAcentral lists this long non-coding RNA (636 nucleotides) under Apteryx rowi (Okarito brown kiwi). Its description in RNAcentral is "lncRNA (ENSARWG00000007457.1)". The record is from RNAcentral. Lineage: Eukaryota; Metazoa; Chordata; Aves; Apterygiformes; Apterygidae.
CCUUGGAGCCAAUGUCUCGGGCUGGGAAAUACGCUUUCAGUUUGCUUCCACCAGCUUUGUAUUCAUAAUAUGUGACGGGCAUCGUUCACCCAGAGCUUCCUGGCUGCUGACUCCUGGUGGGGAGAAGGUUUGGCUUCUUCUGGUGCUUUUCCUCAGUUGUUGCCACUUGGGAGCUCAGACAAGACUUGUGACCAUUCGGCUUGGACAGGACUGCCUGCAUGUUUCCUUCCACAUGAUUUUCAUCUUUUGGCUCUAUGGGAAGUGAAUGAUACAUGGCCUCGUUCAAGCAGGAGGCGAAGACAAGGCCCUGGGAGAUGCAACCAUCCUGACUAAGAUCCAAGAUCUCCAUCUCCAAGAUGCUCUGAGAGGCCCCGUAGGUCCUGCCGCCAGCUGCCGUGCGGAGAUAGGAAAGAAAACCCUGGUGACAGUCCUCUGAAGGCUUUAUGUUACAGACAAACACAGAAAUGCCACCGAGGUGAGUAUUAGACCUCAUUCCACUCAGCAAAAAAUUCCAGCUGUUGACACUUCUGGAAAAUGACAAACGAAUAUUACAGGCAACAGAGAAUGUUCUGGAAUAACAGUGAAGACAGUGUCAUUGUAGGGACAUAAUAAAGGAAUUUCCUGGGUGUUUAUUCA